UACUGCUAAUACCGCAUGAUACCUGAGGGUCAAAGGCGCAAGUCGCCUUGGGAGGAGCCUGCGUCUGAUUAGCUUGUUGGUGGGGUAAAGGCCUACCAAGGCGACGAUCAGUAGCUGGUCUGAGAGGAUGAUCAGCCACAUUGGGACUGAGACACGGCCCAAACUCCUACGGGAGGCAGCAGUGGGGAAUAUUGGACAAUGGGGGAAACCCUGAUCCAGCAAUGCCGCGUGUGUGAAGAAGGUCUUCGGAUUGUAAAGCACUUUUGGCAGGGACGAUGAUGACGGUACCUGCAGAAUAAGCCCCGGCUAACUUCGUGCCAGCAGCCGCGGUAAUACGAAGGGGGCUAGCGUUGCUCGGAAUGACUGGGCGUAAAGGGCGCGUAGGCGGCGUACACAGUCAGAAGUGAAAUUCCUGGGCUCAACCUGGGGACUGCUUUUGAUACGUGUGUGCUAGAGUGAGGAAGAGGGUUGUGGAAUUUCCAGUGUAGAGGUGAAAUUCGUAGAUAUUGGAAAGAACACCGGUGGCGAAGGCGGCAACCU
Molecule: ribosomal RNA, 540 nt
Filed under: Acidocella sp.
Lineage: Bacteria; Pseudomonadati; Pseudomonadota; Alphaproteobacteria; Acetobacterales; Acidocellaceae
Description: bacterial SSU rRNA
Rfam family: Bacterial small subunit ribosomal RNA
Source: RNAcentral